RNAcentral lists this ribosomal RNA (489 nucleotides) under uncultured bacterium. RNAcentral's name for it is "partial 16S ribosomal RNA". It matches the Rfam family "Bacterial small subunit ribosomal RNA", at positions 28 to 507 of the family's 1533-position model. The record is from RNAcentral.
GAUGAACGCUAGCGGCAGGCUUAAUACAUGCAAGUCGAGGGGCAGCAGGACUGUAGCAAUACAGUUGCUGGCGACCGGCAAACGGGUGCGGAACACGUACGCAACCUACCCAAAACUGGGGGAUAGCCCGUGGAAACCCGGAUUAAUACCUCGUAACCUUUUUAAGUGGCAUCACUUGAUAAGUAUAGCUCCGGCGGUUUUGGAUGGGCGUGCGCCUGAUUAGGUAGUUGGUGCGGGUAACGGCCCACCAAGACUGCUAUCAGUAACUGGUGUGAGAGCACGACCAGUCACACGGGCACUGCGGCAAAGGCCCGACUCCUAAGGGAGGCAGCAGUAAGAAAUAUUGGUCACGGGACGCAAGUCUGAACCAGCCAUGCCGCGUGAAGGAUGAAAGUCCUCUGGAUUGUAAACUUCUUUUAUGGGGGACGAAACCCGGAUAUUCUUAGCCGAUUGACGGUACCUCAGGAAUAAGCACCGGCUAACUCCGUG